This 562-nucleotide ribosomal RNA is filed under the name Penicillium sp. NY8551a. RNAcentral describes it as "eukaryotic LSU rRNA". The stretch from base 193 to 345 matches the Rfam family "5.8S ribosomal RNA". The record is from RNAcentral. RNAcentral also lists the same sequence under 1 other name. Lineage: Eukaryota; Fungi; Ascomycota; Eurotiomycetes; Eurotiales; Aspergillaceae.
UGCGGAAGGAUCAUUACCGAGUGAGGGCCCUCUGGGUCCAACCUCCCACCCGUGUUUAUUUUACCUUGUUGCUUCGGCGGGCCCGCCUUAACUGGCCGCCGGGGGGCUUACGCCCCCGGGCCCGCGCCCGCCGAAGACACCCUCGAACUCUGUCUGAAGAUUGUAGUCUGAGUGAAAAUAUAAAUUAUUUAAAACUUUCAACAACGGAUCUCUUGGUUCCGGCAUCGAUGAAGAACGCAGCGAAAUGCGAUACGUAAUGUGAAUUGCAAAUUCAGUGAAUCAUCGAGUCUUUGAACGCACAUUGCGCCCCCUGGUAUUCCGGGGGGCAUGCCUGUCCGAGCGUCAUUUCUGCCCUCAAGCACGGCUUGUGUGUUGGGCCCCGUCCUCCGAUCCCGGGGGACGGGCCCGAAAGGCAGCGGCGGCACCGCGUCCGGUCCUCGAGCGUAUGGGGCUUUGUCACCCGCUCUGUAGGCCCGGCCGGCGCUUGCCGAUCAACCCAAAUUUUUAUCCAGGUUGACCUCGGAUCAGGUAGGGAUACCCGCUGAACUUAAGCAUAUCAAUA